AUUGAACGCUGGCGGCAGGCCUAACACAUGCAAGUCGAGCGGAUGAAGGGAGCUUGCUCCUGGAUUCAGUGGCGGACGGGUGAGUAAUGCCUAGGAAUCUGCCUGGUAGUGGGGGAUAACGUCCGGAAACGGGCGCUAAUACCGCAUACGUCCUGAGGGAGAAAGUGGGGGAUCUUCGGACCUCACGCUAUCAGAUGAGCCUAGGUCGGAUUAGCUAGUUGGUGGGGUAAAGGCCUACCAAGGCGACGAUCCGUAACUGGUCUGAGAGGAUGAUCAGUCACACUGGAACUGAGACACGGUCCAGACUCCUACGGGAGGCAGCAGUGGGGAAUAUUGGACAAUGGGCGAAAGCCUGAUCCAGCCUUGCCGCGUGUGUGAAGAAGGUCCUCGGAUUGUAAAGCACUUUAAGUUGGGAGGAAGGGCAGUAAGUUAAUACCUUGCUGUUUUGACGUUACCAACAGAAUAAGCACCGGCUAACUUCGU
RNAcentral lists this ribosomal RNA (483 nucleotides) under uncultured bacterium. RNAcentral's name for it is "partial 16S ribosomal RNA". It matches the Rfam family "Bacterial small subunit ribosomal RNA", at positions 30 to 506 of the family's 1533-position model. The record is from RNAcentral.